AUUUAUGUAAUAAUUUUACAUAAUUAGGUCAUUUUAUUAAUUACAAUUUGCGAGACCUACCUGACAACCCAGGCCGAAAGUCCAGGGAAUUUAAUUUGCUAGCACUAUAUUUAACCCUGUAACUUUCCAAGACACCAUAAAACCUGUACAUUGGGGGUACUGUUUUACUCAGAAGACUUUGUAAAAUGUAUUACAACGUUGAUAUCAUCAGUGAAAGUGACAUUUUUUGUGCAUUUUCCACACACAAAUGGCACUUACACGGAUUAUAUAAUUCUUGUGAUACGUUUUACUGUUUUGAAACACUAAUAUUUGUGUUCAGCUAAGUCUCCUGAGUAUAACAGUACCCUUCAUGUACAGGUUUUAUGGUGUUUUCAAAAGUUACAGAGUCAAAUAUAAGGCUUGCGUUUCAGUUUUUUCACAUUGAAAUUCACCAGAUUGGUUACGUUGCCUUUGAGAUCGUACGG
Molecule: non-coding RNA, 464 nt
Organism: Pelobates cultripes (western spadefoot toad)
Lineage: Eukaryota; Metazoa; Chordata; Amphibia; Anura; Pelobatidae
Source: the annotation of a GenBank genome assembly